Molecule: transfer RNA, 74 nt
Filed under: Myxococcales bacterium
Lineage: Bacteria; Pseudomonadati; Myxococcota; Myxococcia; Myxococcales
Description: tRNA-Arg
Rfam family: tRNA
About the family: Transfer RNA (tRNA) molecules are approximately 80 nucleotides in length. Their secondary structure includes four short double-helical elements and three loops (D, anti-codon, and T loops). Further hydrogen bonds mediate the characteristic L-shaped molecular structure. tRNAs have two regions of fundamental functional importance: the anti-codon, which is responsible for specific mRNA codon recognition, and the 3' end, to which the tRNAs corresponding amino acid is attached (by aminoacyl-tRNA synthetases). tRNAs cope with the degeneracy of the genetic code in two manners: having more than one tRNA (with a specific anti-codon) for a particular amino acid; and 'wobble' base-pairing, i.e. permitting non-standard base-pairing at the 3rd anti-codon position.
Source: RNAcentral
GCACCCGUAGCUCAGUUGGAUAGAGCGCCGGACUACGAAUCCGGAGGUCGCAGGUUCGAAUCCUUCCGGGUGCG